UACGGAGGGUGCAAGCGUUAUCCGGAUUCACUGGGUUUAAAGGGUGCGUAGGUGGGCAGGUAAGUCAGUGGUGAAAUCUCUGGGCUUAACCUGGAAACUGCCGUUGAUACUAUCUGUCUUGAAUAUAGUGGAGGUGAGCGGAAUAUGUCAUGUAGCGGUGAAAUGCUUAGAUAUGACAUAGAACAUCGAUUGCGAAGGCAGCUCGCUACACUAUGAUUGACACUGAGGCACGAAAGCGUGGGGAUCAAACAGG
RNAcentral lists this ribosomal RNA (253 nucleotides) under uncultured bacterium. RNAcentral's name for it is "partial 16S ribosomal RNA". It matches the Rfam family "Bacterial small subunit ribosomal RNA", at positions 524 to 776 of the family's 1533-position model. The record is from RNAcentral.